Molecule: ribosomal RNA, 301 nt
Filed under: uncultured bacterium
Lineage: Bacteria
Description: partial 16S ribosomal RNA
Rfam family: Bacterial small subunit ribosomal RNA
Source: RNAcentral
CAGUAGCCGCGGUAAUACGAAGGGUGCAAGCGUUACUCGGAAUUACUGGGCGUAAAGCGUGCGUAGGUGGUGGUUUAAGUCCGUUGUGAAAGCCCUGGGCUCAACCUGGGAAUUGCAGUGGAUACUGGGUCACUAGAGUGUGGUAGAGGAUAGUGGAAUUUCCGGUGUAGCAGUGAAAUGCGUAGAGAUCGGAAGGAACAUCUGUGGCGAAGGCGACUAUCUGGGCCAACACUGACACUGAGGCACGAAAGCGUGGGGAGCAAACAGGAUUAGAAUACCCCCGUAGUCCCUGUCUCUUAUU